RNAcentral lists this ribosomal RNA (465 nucleotides) under uncultured Klebsiella sp. RNAcentral describes it as "bacterial SSU rRNA". It matches the Rfam family "Bacterial small subunit ribosomal RNA", at positions 338 to 795 of the family's 1533-position model. Lineage: Bacteria; Pseudomonadati; Pseudomonadota; Gammaproteobacteria; Enterobacterales; Enterobacteriaceae. The record is from RNAcentral.
CCUACGGGGGGCAGCAGUGGGGAAUAUUGCACAAUGGGCGCAAGCCUGAUGCAGCCAUGCCGCGUGUGUGAAGAAGGCCUUCGGGUUGUAAAGCACUUUCAGCGGGGAGGAAGGCGGUGAGGUUAAUAACCUCAUCGAUUGACGUUACCCGCAGAAGAAGCACCGGCUAACUCCGUGCCAGCAGCCGCGGUAAUACGGAGGGUGCAAGCGUUAAUCGGAAUUACUGGGCGUAAAGCGCACGCAGGCGGUCUGUCAAGUCGGAUGUGAAAUCCCCGGGCUCAACCUGGGAACUGCAUUCGAAACUGGCAGGCUAGAGUCUUGUAGAGGGGGGUAGAAUUCCAGGUGUAGCGGUGAAAUGCGUAGAGAUCUGGAGGAAUACCGGUGGCGAAGGCGGCCCCCUGGACAAAGACUGACGCUCAAGUGCGAAAGCGUGGGGAGCAAACAGGAUUAGAUACCCGUGUAGUC